This 253-nucleotide ribosomal RNA is filed under the name uncultured bacterium. RNAcentral's name for it is "partial 16S ribosomal RNA". It matches the Rfam family "Bacterial small subunit ribosomal RNA", at positions 524 to 776 of the family's 1533-position model. The record is from RNAcentral.
GACAGAGGUGCCGAGCGUUAGGCGGAAUCACUGGGCGUAAAGCGCACGUAGGCGGAUUUCUAAGUCAGGGGUGAAAUCCUGGAGCUCAACUCCAGAACUGCCUUUGAUACUGGGAAUCUCGAGUCCGGGAGAGGUGAGUGGAACUGCGAGUGUAGAGGUGAAAUUCGUAGAUAUUCGCAAGAACACCAGUGGCGAAGGCGGCUCACUGGCCCGGUACUGACGCUGAGGUGCGAAAGCGUGGGGAGCAAACAGG